UGCAUUGUGGAAUUUGCUGUCUGUAUCAC
This 29-nucleotide non-coding RNA is filed under the name Rattus norvegicus (Norway rat). The record is from RNAcentral. Lineage: Eukaryota; Metazoa; Chordata; Mammalia; Rodentia; Muridae.